RNAcentral lists this non-coding RNA (130 nucleotides) under Nostoc sp. The record is from RNAcentral. Lineage: Bacteria; Bacillati; Cyanobacteriota; Cyanophyceae; Nostocales; Nostocaceae.
GCUAAAUUACUAAAGCUUGGUGUUGGGAAACUCCGGUGAGAUUCCGGGGCUGUGCCGCAACUGUAAUGUAAAGGCCAAAGAAAUUUUCUUUUGACUUUCCAAGUCAGAAUGCCAAUUCCAAGAGUAUAUA